UUUCCGUAGGUGAACCUGCGGAGGGAUCAUUACAGAGUUUAAGCCCUACUGGGUAGAUCCUCUACCCUAUGUUAUUAUUACUUUUUUGCUUUAACGAGCCGUUCUGAUCCGUUCCGUUUCUCCGUUCCGCCUGGCAAGCGCCCCCCAGAGUACCCAAACCCCUGUUUUUUCCUUUUAUCUCAGUACUAUAUAAUAGUUAAAACUUUCAACAACGGACCACUUGGUUCUACCAUCGAUGAAGAUCGCCGCUGAUCGGCAAAGCACACGUCUUACAACCAC
Molecule: unclassified non-coding RNA, 279 nt
Filed under: plant metagenome
Description: partial contains small subunit ribosomal RNA, internal transcribed spacer 1, and 5.8S ribosomal RNA
Source: RNAcentral